Transfer RNA from Hypholoma sublateritium FD-334 SS-4, 84 nucleotides. It matches the Rfam family "tRNA". From Rfam's summary of the family: Transfer RNA (tRNA) molecules are approximately 80 nucleotides in length. Their secondary structure includes four short double-helical elements and three loops (D, anti-codon, and T loops). Further hydrogen bonds mediate the characteristic L-shaped molecular structure. tRNAs have two regions of fundamental functional importance: the anti-codon, which is responsible for specific mRNA codon recognition, and the 3' end, to which the tRNAs corresponding amino acid is attached (by aminoacyl-tRNA synthetases). tRNAs cope with the degeneracy of the genetic code in two manners: having more than one tRNA (with a specific anti-codon) for a particular amino acid; and 'wobble' base-pairing, i.e. permitting non-standard base-pairing at the 3rd anti-codon position. The record is from Rfam. Lineage: Eukaryota; Fungi; Basidiomycota; Agaricomycetes; Agaricales; Strophariaceae.
GUCAGUAUCGAUUAGUGGUUAAAUCACCUCGUUGUGGAUUUAGCUAUAUCCGAGGAGCCGUCAGUUCAAUUCUGGCUACCGACA